UGAAUACGAGACGCUACGGCGUCGAAGCAGUCUAUGUCAUACUUCCAAGAAAAGCUUGCACUGUCAUAAACAAAUAAUGCCUGUACCAUAACCGACACAGGUGGGUAGGUAGAGUAUACUAAGGGGCGCGAGAUAACUCUCUCUAAGGAACUCGGCAAAAUGACUCCGUAACUUCGGGAGAAGGAGUGCCUUAUUUAUAAGGUUGCAAUAACAAGAUCCAAGCAACUGUUUAUCAAAAACACAGGUCUCCGCUAAGUCGUAAGACGAUGUAUGGGGGCUGACGCCUGCCCAGUGCCAGAAGGUUAAAGUAGUUGGUUAGCAUUAGCGAAGCUGAUAACUGAAGCCCUGGUGAACGGCGGCCGUAACAAUAACGGUCCUAAGGUAGCGAAAUUCCUUGUCGGGUAAGUUCCGACCCGCACGAAAGGCGUAAUGAUUUGGAUACUUUCUCAGAGAGGGGCUCGGUGAAAUAGACUUGUCUGUGAAGAUGCGGACUACCUGCACCAGGACAGAAAGACCCUAUGAAGCUUUACUGUAACUUGAAAUUGAAAUUGGACUUUAUUUGCGCAGUAUAGGUGGGAGGCAUUGAUAAUAUUCUUGCGGGAAUGUUGGAGCCAUCAGUGAGAUACCACUCUUGUAAUGUUAGAUUUCUAACUUUGGAUCAUUAUCUGGUCAAAGGACAGUUUCAGGCGGGCAGUUUGACUGGGGCGGUCGCCUCCUAAAUGGUAACGGAGGCGCACAAAGGUUUCCUCUGAACGGGUAGAAAUCGUAUCUAGAGUGUAAAGGCAUAAGGAAGCUUGACUGUGAGACCUACAAGUCGAGCAGGGACGAAAGUCGGUCUUAGUGAUCUGACGGUGCUGAGUGGAAAGGCCGUCACUCAACGGAUAAAAGUUACUCUAGGAUAACAGGCUGAUCUCCCCCAAGAGUUCACAUCGACGGGGAGGUUUGGCACCUCGAUGUCGGCUCAUCGCAUCCUGGGGCGGUAGUACGUCCCAAGGGUUGGGCUGUUCGCCCAUGAAAGCGGUACGCGAGCUGGGUUCAGAACGUCGUGAGACAGUUCGGUCCAUAUCCGGUGUAGGCGUUAGAAUAUUGAGAGGAGCCUUCUUUAGUACGAGAGGACCGAGAAGGACAUACCUCUGGUGUACCAGUUAUCGUGCCAACGGUAAACGCUGGGUAGCUAUGUAUGGAGAGGAUAACCGCUGAAAGCAUCUAAGUGGGAAGCCCACCUCAAGAUAAG
RNAcentral lists this ribosomal RNA (1234 nucleotides) under metagenome. Its description in RNAcentral is "bacterial LSU rRNA". It matches the Rfam family "Bacterial large subunit ribosomal RNA", at positions 1564 to 2808 of the family's 2925-position model. The record is from RNAcentral.